RNAcentral lists this long non-coding RNA (517 nucleotides) under Zalophus californianus (California sea lion). RNAcentral describes it as "lncRNA (ENSZCAG00015001144.1)". Lineage: Eukaryota; Metazoa; Chordata; Mammalia; Carnivora; Otariidae. The record is from RNAcentral.
AAGACACUACUUUUCUUGACCCCAGAAUUUGUAAAAAGUAUAUGGAUUUAUCUCCUGAACACCUACUUCCUCAAGAGACCUGAAGGAUAGGGGAAGAUGCAGGUCCUUGUUUUCUCUUUCUCAAGUAUACCCCAAAUCUGAAGACUUCAAUGGUGUUUCUUUUCUCUUCAGUUAUAUUUUUCUUCCCAUAUAUAUAUUUUCUUACUUAGGUAAAAUGAUAAAGGGAUAAUAUGAUUUAAGUGCAUUAAUAAAAUGAAUGUUUUGAAUAGACCAUAAUGUGAAAAGCAUCCUAGGGUUCAGUGCUAAGCUAUGCUUUACAUGAGCAAUUAAAGAUAUCUGUGUUAAUAGUACAAAUUAUAUUAAAUAUAUAAGCUUUCUGUCCCUACAUUUACUGAAAAUUAAUGUUAAAUCCUAGAAAGGAAAAGAUUUUCUUAUUAAUUGAAAUGUCCUUAUUUUAGAAUCUGAUUAAAUAGAAUUCUUUAUAUAUGGUCAAGUAUAAGAGAGUCACCCCUUUUUA